UACGUAGGGAGCAAGCGUUGUCCGGAAUCAUUGGGCGUAAGCGCGCGUAGGUGGCUUCGUAAGUCCGCUCUGAAAGCCCAGGGCUCAACCCUGGGAGGCGGGUGGAUACUACGGAACUGGAGUACGGAAGAGGAGAUUGGAAUUCCUGGUGUAGCGGUGAAAUGCGCAGAUAUCAGGAGGAACACCAACAGCGAAGGCAGAUCUCUGGGACGUUACUGACGCUGAGACGCGAAAGCGUGGGGAGCAAACAGG
Molecule: ribosomal RNA, 252 nt
Filed under: uncultured bacterium
Lineage: Bacteria
Description: partial 16S ribosomal RNA
Rfam family: Bacterial small subunit ribosomal RNA
Source: RNAcentral